AGAGUUUGAUCAUGGCUCAGAACGAACGCUGGCGGCAGGCUUAACACAUGCAAGUCGAACGCCCCGCAAGGGGAGUGGCAGACGGGUGAGUAACGCGUGGGAAUCUACCCAGAUCUACGGAACAACAGAGGGAAACUUCUGCUAAUACCGUAUACGCCCUACGGGGGAAAGAUUUAUCGGAUUUGGAUGAGCCCGCGUAAGAUUAGCUAGUUGGUGAGGUAAUGGCUCACCAAGGCGACGAUCUUUAGCUGGUCUGAGAGGAUGAUCAGCCACACUGGGACUGAGACACGGCCCAGACUCCUACGGGAGGCAGCAGUGGGGAAUAUUGGACAAUGGGCGCAAGCCUGAUCCAGCCAUGCCGCGUGAGUGAUGAAGGCCUUAGGGUUGUAAAGCUCUUUCAGUAGGGAAGAUAAUGACGGUACCUACAGAAGAAGCCCCGGCUAACUUCGUGCCAGCAGCCGCGGUAAUACGAAGGGGGCUAGCGUUGUUCGGAUUUACUGGGCGUAAAGCGCACGUAGGCGGAAUGUUAAGUCAGAGGUGAAAUCCUGGAGCUCAACUCCAGAACUGCCUUUGAUACUGGCAAUCUAGAGUCCGGAAGAGGUGAGUGGAACUCCUAGUGUAGAGGUGGAAUUCGUAGAUAUUAGGAAGAACACCAGUGGCGAAGGCGGCUCACUGGUCCGGUACUGACGCUGAGGUGCGAAAGCGUGGGGAGCAAACAGGAUUAGAUACCCCGGUAGUCC
Molecule: ribosomal RNA, 740 nt
Filed under: uncultured bacterium
Lineage: Bacteria
Description: bacterial SSU rRNA
Rfam family: Bacterial small subunit ribosomal RNA
Source: RNAcentral